GAUGAACGCUGGCGGCGUGCUUAACACAUGCAAGUCGAACGAUGAAGCCCAGCUUGCUGGGUGGAUUAGUGGCGAACGGGUGAGUAACACGUGAGUAACCUGCCCUUAACUCUGGGAUAAGCCUGGGAAACUGGGUCUAAUACCGGAUAGGAGCGUCCACCGCAUGGUGGGUGUUGGAAAGAUUUAUCGGUUUUGGAUGGACUCGCGGCCUAUCAGCUUGUUGGUGAGGUAAUGGCUCACCAAGGCGACGACGGGUAGCCGGCCUGAGAGGGUGACCGGCCACACUGGGACUGAGACACGGCCCAGACUCCUACGGGAGGCAGCAGUGGGGAAUAUUGCACAAUGGGCGCAAGCCUGAUGCAGCGACGCCGCGUGAGGGAUGACGGCCUUCGGGGUGUAAACCUCUUUCAGUAGGGAAGAAGCGAAAGUGACGGUACCUGCAGAAGAAGCACCGGCUAACUACG
Molecule: ribosomal RNA, 464 nt
Filed under: uncultured bacterium
Lineage: Bacteria
Description: partial 16S ribosomal RNA
Rfam family: Bacterial small subunit ribosomal RNA
Source: RNAcentral